This 468-nucleotide ribosomal RNA is filed under the name uncultured bacterium. Its description in RNAcentral is "partial 16S ribosomal RNA". It matches the Rfam family "Bacterial small subunit ribosomal RNA", at positions 28 to 507 of the family's 1533-position model. The record is from RNAcentral.
GACGAACGCUGGCGGCGUGCUUAACACAUGCAAGUCGAACGGAAAGGCCCUGCUUUUGUGGGCUGCUCGAUUGGCGAACGGGUGAGUAAGACGUGAGUACCCUGCCCUUGACUUUCGGAUAACUUCAGGUAACUGGGGCUAAUACCGCAUAGGAGCUCCUGCUGCUUGGUGGGGGUUGGAAAUUUGCGGCGGUUGGGGAUGGACUCGCGGCUUAUGAGCUUGUUGGUGGGGUAGUGGCUUACCAAGGCUUUGACGGGUAGCCGGCCUGAGAGGGGGACCGGGCACAUGGGGACUGAGAUAGGGCCCAGACUGAAACGGGAGACAGGGGUGGGGAACAUUGCACAAUGGGCGGAAGCCGGAUGCAGCAACGCCGGGUGCGGGAUGACGGCCUUCGGGGUAUAAACCGCUGGAGCCUGUGACGAAGCGUGUGUGACGGUAACGGAUAAAGAAGCACCGGCUAACUACGUG